CCCCUAGAUGUUCUGGGCCGCACGCGCGCUACACUGAACAGUUCAACAAGUCUUAACCUUGGCCGAUAGGUCUGGGUAAUCUUUGAACGCUGUUCGUGAUUGGGAUAGACCUUUGCAAUUAUGGGUCUUCAACGAGGAAUUCCUAGUAAACGCAAGUCAUCAGCUUGCAUUGAUUACGUCCCUGCCCUUUGUACACACCGCCCGUCGCACCUACCGAUUGAAUGGUCCGGUGAAAUCUCGGGACGCCGGCUUGGUCGCUUGCGUCCGACUGCUGAAACUUGAUUAAACCAUAUCAUUUAGAGGAAGGUGAAGUCGUAACA
Molecule: ribosomal RNA, 320 nt
Filed under: uncultured eukaryote
Lineage: Eukaryota
Description: partial 18S ribosomal RNA
Rfam family: Eukaryotic small subunit ribosomal RNA
Source: RNAcentral